UUCACCAACUCGGCUUGCAUUUGCUCAGUGCUGGUAAUGACGUAAUCUUAGUCUCACCCAGAGACUCAUUUGGAAGUUGGAACACAGAACGGGGCGGCUACUGAAGAAAGAAGCGCAGACGCCGUCGUAUUAAUCCCUAAGCGUUGAACAUGGAAGCAACACCAAACACACAACAACAAGACGAUGAUGAUAUCGUUUGCUUAGAUGCGUCCUUCUUCCUCAAUGACAAUUACCAGCUUACGAACUUCACAUUUGGAUCCCAAGACAUUCAGCUCUUCUGUCUUCAAUCCGCUUCAACUGAUUUUGAUUUGACAGGGCAGCUGGUAUGGCCGGGAGCCAUGCUGCUAAAUGAUUAUCUUUCAAAGAAUGUUGAAAUGCUGCGGGGAUGCACUGCCAUCGAAUUGGGUUCUGGUGUUGGUAUUACUGGAAUACUUUGCAGCAGAUUCUGCCAUAAAGUUGUGAUGACGGAUCAUAAUGAAGAAGUGCUAAAGAUUUUAAAUAAAAAUAUAGAGCUUCAUUCAUGUUCCGACAAUACUAGUCCUUCUUCUCGCAGAUUAUUUGCCAAUAAACUGGAAUGGGGGAACUCUGAUCAGAUCAAUGACAUUUUACAAAAUCAUCCAGGAGGUUUUGACCUUGUCCUUGGAGCUGACAUCUAUAUCCUAAUGAAUAUAAUCUUGAAUUUAUCCAUACGUUUCAAUAUUUCCCAUUCUUACUCAUUUCCCAUUUGCUCAUUUUUCUACUUCAGUUCUCAUCUCCUUCCUUGUAGCAUAUGCCUAGAAUGGCAUGGCAGAAAACUAGGGACCACAAUGGCAGUGACGCCGUGGCAUUUCCUGACAGAAAUGGCUGGAUUCUGUGGAAUAUAUUUUGCAUUGGAGGGCUGUUUUUGUCAUUUUAAAAACCAUAAAACUAAUGUUAGGAACACAAAACCUUCUGACUUGAUUUCAGCCUCUUCACCAACCCAAGGAAGCAAGGAAGAGGAAGUUAUAGUGCUACUCCUGCUGCAAAAAGGUUUUGUGUUGGUGAAGAGGCUGAAAUCAGCCAGAGAAGGUUUUGUGUUCCUACAUUAGUUUAGGGUUUUAUAAUGACAAAAACAACCCUCAAAAGCAAAACAAUUCCACAUAACUCCGCCAUUUCUGUCACGGAAUGCCACCGCUCUUUCAGUCCCUGAUUUUCUGCAACACAAUGUACUCCCAGAUGGCAGCAGCCACAAAAUCUGCCAUGUCAUUCUGCCAUGGCACCGCCGUGGCCGAUAUUUUAAAACUACGAAAAAAUAUAAUUCUGGAGACCUUGACAAUGCAUAAGUUUUCAGCAGUCAAGCGUCCCUAUGCUAUUCAAUACUGUUGAACAACUAUUGUGGGCUGGAGAGGGCAGGAGAUGCAAAUUCAUACUAGCCUAUGUAUCACGAACUAAGACCAUGGAUUCAAUGAUUAUUAUGGAAGCCUCUAAGCACCAGAUGCAGAUGAAAGAAGUGCCUGGAACUCGGCGCAUUGUCGGAAAUCUUGAAGGAGUCAUCUACGAAAUUACACUUGGGUCAAAGCAUUAAAUAUAUUUUAGUUGGAGUGACAUGGUGUAUGAUAACCAAAACAGAUUUGAGGGUUUGGGGUUUUGUCCAACAGUUUCUUUCUCGAUCUGUCUAACCAGCAACGCGUUGUUGAGGACACAUGAUUUUCUUCAAAUAGAUACAAGGCAGAUAAAACGGACAUGAUAGGAAGGUUGCUUUUCUUGUUUCAAUUUGAAGGGAUCCAUAAUAACCAUUGGAGAUUUUCAGGACACUAGAUUGGAGUAUAGUCUUUCAUAAAGCUCUAUAUACACAUGCCCAACUAUGUAGCAUGCCCCUAGUCCCUUUACAAUCGAUGAAUCUUUGAAGUUUGAACUAGUUCAUUGACCAGGUUUCAUGUACAAUUUUAUUUUCGCGCAUAGUCAAGAUGGAUAUGUCUUAAAUGAACACAGUUGUAAUCUGAAACUUGUUGGUCUCCUUGAAGAAGUUUUAAGAAUA
Arachis duranensis is the source of this 1996-nucleotide RNA transcript. RefSeq lists it as uncharacterized. NCBI's taxonomy places the organism in Eukaryota, Viridiplantae, Streptophyta, Magnoliopsida, Fabales, Fabaceae. The transcript has 8 exons. The record is from RefSeq and is a predicted model, not a curated record.